This 494-nucleotide ribosomal RNA is filed under the name uncultured bacterium. RNAcentral describes it as "partial 16S ribosomal RNA". It matches the Rfam family "Bacterial small subunit ribosomal RNA", at positions 28 to 507 of the family's 1533-position model. The record is from RNAcentral.
GACGAACGCUGGCGGCGCGCUUAACACAUGCAAGUCGAACGGAAAGGCCUGCUUUCCCUUGUGGAUUGCGGGUACUCGAGUGGCGAACGGGUGAGUAACACGUGAGUGAUCUGCCCCCAACUUGGGUAUAAGCCUGGGAAACUGGGUCUAAUUCCCGAUAGGACUGCAGGGUGGUUCCUGUGGUGGAAAACGAUUUUCUAGUGGUUGGGGAUGAGCUCGCGGCCUAUCAGCUUGUUGGUGGGGUAAUGGCCUACCAAGGCGGCGACGGGUAGCCGGCCCGAGAGGGUGGACGGCCACAUUGGGACUGAAAGACGGCCCAGACUCCGACGGGAGGCAGCAGUGGGGAAUAUUGCACAAUGGGCGGAAGCCUGAGGCAGCGACGCCGCGUGGGGGAUGACGGCCUUCGGGUUGUAAACUCCUUUCGACCGCGAGGAAGCCACCUGGUUGGAAGGGUGGUGACGGUAGUGGUAGAAGAAGCACCGGCUAACUACGUG